CAAAGAUUCAAUUCUCGAAUUUAGAGUUCCUCACAGGGAUAGCAUCCAAAUUCCGAUCGAAACAUGUUGAGACUAAAUCGAUUCAUAAAACACACCAAUAACUCAACCAGAGCUUCACUCCUCUUACGUCAAAAACAGCAACAAGAAGAGAGGUUCUUUGAUCCUCUGCCUUCUAUGCGUUUCUUCCAAAUGACCUCCAAUCGCUUCCUUGACAUUUACCAGCUUGGAAACAAAGCAGCUAUUGAGAAAGAGCGUGCAAGGCUUAAAGAUGAGAUGAAUAGGGGUUAUUUUGCUGAUAUGGCAGAGCUCAAGCAACAUGGUGGUAAGAUUGCAAUGGCAAAUAAAAUUAUAAUUCCUGCAAUGGCAGCCGUGAAGUUUCCAAACUUAGAAGUGAGCUUUUCUGAUGGUAAAACUUUAAAGUUGCCUUUUGGGUCCAAUAGAAAUGUGGCUGAUGCUGAGUCAUCAACUAUUCCUAAAGCAUCUUUACUGUGUCUUUCAUUUCGAGCCAGCUCUCAGGCCAUGAUUGACUCCUGGACCAUGCCUUUCAUCGAUACAUUUCACGAUGCGAAAUAUAUUCAUCUGUAUGAGGUGUCAUUUAUAGACUCAUGGCUCCUAUGUCGGAAUCCAAUCAAGAAGUUCCUGCUUCGGAUAAUGAGGAAAUCCAUUACUGACGGAAACAAUGAACUUCAAAAGCAGAUUGGUUAUUCUUUUGGUGACCAUUAUUACUUUAGAAAAGAACUUAAAAUACUGAACCUUCUUACUGGGUACAUUUUCCUACUUGACAAAUUUGGUAGAAUAAGAUGGCAAGGCUUUGGAUUGGCUACAAAAGAGGAGUUGUCCUCCCUCCUUUCUUGCACAUCAUUACUUUUGGAAGAGAAAUGAGGUAGUUGGUGCAUAUUGUUUGACCUUGACUUUUUUUAAAUGAUCUUUGAUCCAAUGGUCUUGGAACCUGAGGUGUAUCAAAAUUCUACCAA
This 974-nucleotide unclassified non-coding RNA is filed under the name Hevea brasiliensis (rubber tree). The record is from RNAcentral. Lineage: Eukaryota; Viridiplantae; Streptophyta; Magnoliopsida; Malpighiales; Euphorbiaceae.